AGUUGGGAUGGCCUAUAGCGGUGGCGGGUUUUCGGCCUGUGUUUGAGAAAUUCUUUUCCUAAUUU
Molecule: transfer RNA, 65 nt
Filed under: Bathymodiolus sp. 5 South
Lineage: Eukaryota; Metazoa; Mollusca; Bivalvia; Mytilida; Modiolidae
Description: tRNA-Glu
Source: RNAcentral